This 942-nucleotide long non-coding RNA is filed under the name Parus major (Great Tit). RNAcentral describes it as "lncRNA (ENSPMJG00000012149.1)". The record is from RNAcentral. Lineage: Eukaryota; Metazoa; Chordata; Aves; Passeriformes; Paridae.
GAUUUUUUCCAUAUGUCAAGGUGAAUAAUACCUCAUCUGGUACACUGGGAGUCACUGGAGAAGAGGCAGAGUUUUGCAGGAUAAAUCUACAGCAUGUAGCUCAUAUCCAGCUUGCUUGGACUGCAGCAAAAUAAAUGCACAACAGUCUGCACCAGUCCAUGGAGACAGAAGUGCAAGUUCUUGGAGAUCUCCAAUGGAACUUGCUUGUCAGGCUAUUUUUUAAUGUUGCAAUCUGCAUCUAGAGAAAGAAAGAUCCAAGUAAAGAGGACUGACAGAAUCAUCCUGUUUUCCAGAAGACAGCAGAAACCGGCAAAUUGGGCCAAGAUUUUAAUUUUAGCAUCUCUUCAUAAUCAAGUGAUUCUGCCUUGCUGCUUUGCUCCUCCUGUCUGUAAUUCUUCAAGAAAUGGAUGCCACAGCUCUGGGAUGGCAACUUUUAAUACGCAUGGAUGUGCCCAGACAGGCUCUUCAUGGAGCCUGCUUCGUGACUGCAAUCAGAAGAUCUGUGAUGCACAUUCAGCACGCCUCAAGUUCUUCAACUGAAGUUUUAUUUUACCAUUCUAACUUGUCUUUUCAAAAACCUCUCCCCUUUUACCUCCUUUUCUGCUGCUAAUAGUGGAUGGCAGCUGUCUCGAGACCUCGGCGCUCCAUGCUUCUCUUGUCAAUGAAAGCGUUUUCCUGUUGGCAUUGACAGGCAGAAAUAUUUUCAUGCCAUCCUUAUGAAGUUUCCUCUGAUGGACUGGAUGAGUGCAACUGUUAGCUCUCUUAAGUGAUUCCACUCUUAUUUUUAAUUUGUGACUUUACAGCUCAAGAAUAUAUUUUCACAUUUAUCCCAGCUGUCUCUCUAACACAGAGAAGGGUGUGUGCAUUCAUGUGUAAGGGACCGAGCAAAGGAAUGCACUGUGUGAAGUUAUCUGCUGUUAAUAAAACCAACUUAUCAUAGCA